RNAcentral lists this ribosomal RNA (423 nucleotides) under uncultured bacterium. Its description in RNAcentral is "bacterial SSU rRNA". It matches the Rfam family "Bacterial small subunit ribosomal RNA", at positions 358 to 772 of the family's 1533-position model. The record is from RNAcentral.
GGAAUUGUUCGCAAUGGGCGCAAGCCUGACGACGCAACGCCGCGUGGAGGAUGAAGAUCUUCGGGUCGUAAACUCCUGUCGAAUGGGACGAAAGGGCUGCGGGUGAAUAAUCCGCGGCCGUGACGGUACCGCUAAAGGACACCCCGGCUAACCCCGGCACAGCAGCCGCGGUAAUACGGUGGGGGUAAGCGUUGUUCGGAAUUACUGGGCGUGAAGGGCUCGUAGGCGGCCAACUAAGUCGGACGUGAAAUCCCUCAGCUUAACUGGGGAACUGCGUCCGAUACUGGAUGGCUUGGAUCCGGGAGAGGGAUGCGGAAUUCCAGGUGUAGCGGUGAAAUGCGUAGAUAUCUGGAGGAACACCGGUGGCGAAGGCGGCAUCCUGGACCGGCAUUGACGCUGAGGAGCGAAAGCCAGGGGAGCAAA